RNAcentral lists this ribosomal RNA (434 nucleotides) under uncultured Lachnospiraceae bacterium. RNAcentral's name for it is "partial 16S ribosomal RNA". It matches the Rfam family "Bacterial small subunit ribosomal RNA", at positions 341 to 792 of the family's 1533-position model. Lineage: Bacteria; Bacillati; Bacillota; Clostridia; Lachnospirales; Lachnospiraceae. The record is from RNAcentral.
ACGUAAGGCAGCAGUGGGGAAUAUUGGACAAUGGGGGAAACCCUGAUCCAGCGACGCCGCGUGAGUGAAGAAGUAUUUCGGUAUGUAAAGCUCUUUAGGCAGGGAAGAAAAUGACGGUACCUGCAGAAUAAGCCCCGGCUAACUACGUGCCAGCAGCCGCGGUAAUACGUAGGGGGCAAGCGUUAUCCGGAUUUACUGGGUGUAAAGGGAGCGUAGACGGCUGUGCAAGUCUGAAGUGAAAGCCCGCGGCUUAACUGCGGCACUGCUUUGGAAACUGUAUAGCUAGAGUGUCGGAGAGGUAAGUGGAAUUCCCAGUGUAGCGGUGAAAUGCGUAGAUAUGGGGAGGAACACCGGAGGCGAAGGCGGCUUACUGGACGAUUACUGACGUUGAGGCUCGAAAGCGUGGGGAGCAAACAGGAUUAGAUACCCUGGUA